GCCUGGGUGGCUCAGUCGGUUAAGCGUCCGACUUCAGCUCAGGUCAUGAUCUCACAGUUCGUGGGUUCGAGCCCCACGUCGGGCU
RNAcentral lists this transfer RNA (85 nucleotides) under Crocuta crocuta (spotted hyena). It matches the Rfam family "tRNA". From Rfam's summary of the family: Transfer RNA (tRNA) molecules are approximately 80 nucleotides in length. Their secondary structure includes four short double-helical elements and three loops (D, anti-codon, and T loops). The record is from Rfam by way of RNAcentral. Lineage: Eukaryota; Metazoa; Chordata; Mammalia; Carnivora; Hyaenidae. RNAcentral also lists the same sequence under 4 other names.